UACGGAGGGUGCAAGCGUUAAUCGGAAUUACUGGGCGUAAAGCGUGCGCAGGCGGUUUGUUAAGUCCGUUGUGAAAGCCCCGAGCUCAACUUGGGAAUUGCAGUGGAUACUGGCAGGCUGGAGUACGGUAGAGGAAGGUGGAAUUCCCGGUGUAGCAGUGAAAUGCGUAGAUAUCGGGAGGAACACCAGUGGCGAAGGCGGCGACCUGGGCCAAUAUUGACGCUGAGGUGCGAAAGCGUGGGGAGCAAACAGG
This 253-nucleotide ribosomal RNA is filed under the name uncultured bacterium. Its description in RNAcentral is "partial 16S ribosomal RNA". It matches the Rfam family "Bacterial small subunit ribosomal RNA", at positions 524 to 776 of the family's 1533-position model. The record is from RNAcentral.